This 253-nucleotide ribosomal RNA is filed under the name uncultured bacterium. RNAcentral's name for it is "partial 16S ribosomal RNA". It matches the Rfam family "Bacterial small subunit ribosomal RNA", at positions 524 to 776 of the family's 1533-position model. The record is from RNAcentral.
UACGAAGGGGGCGAGCGUUGUUCGGAAUUACUGGGCGUAAAGGGCGCGCAGGCGGCUCUGAACGUCAGAUGUGAAAGCCCCGGGCUUAACCUGGGAAUUGCAUUUGAUACUCUGGAGCUUGAGUACGGGAGAGGAGAGUGGAAUUCCCAGUGUAGAGGUGAAAUUCGUAGAUAUUGGGAAGAACACCGGUGGCGAAGGCGGCUCUCUGGACCGUAACUGACGCUGAGGCGCGAAAGCGUGGGGAGCAAACAGG